AUGCUCAACAAGACCGCGGCGAGCGGCAAGGGUCAAUUCGGUGACCUCACCGACGACCUCCUCCGGCACGUGCUGUCCUUUCUGCCUGCGGCUGAUGCUCUGCAGACUUGCGUGCUCGACACCCGGUGGCGCGACCUCUGGAGGCGCACCACCGACCUCCUCCUAGUCUUUGAUGAGACCAGUUUCCCGAGCUCCGGGCGUUUCAAACAGCUGGUGAAACUCUUCAUCCACCUCCGGGGAAACUCACCUCUCGACAAGUGCAAGAUCGUUGCCUGUGUUGAUGAUGAGGAGGGGUGCACAUACACAAACACCAUGCUGUUGAUCAAGUACGCUCUAAAGUGCCAAGUUAAGGAGCUCCUACUCAGUGUUGCUGUUGAAGAUGAUGACACUGUGUACGACCCAAUAAUACUUGAUGCGCCUCUCAUCUCCCAGCACUUGAAGCUCUUACACCUCGAACAGGUUAACCUGAAAUUCUCCGCUCUGAAUUUCUCGCGCUGCCCGGUAUUAGAGGAUCUAAAGAUGCAACGUUGCGGCAUUGAUGGACGCAGGAUAUCUUCCAAAUCACUAAAGCGUUUGUGCAUUUCCGACUUCUGUUACUUCCCUGAGGAUUUCCACGUUCGGAUAUUUGCCCCGGGUCUUAUCUCUUUGCAACUUGAUGGUUUUAAUGGCUUGACCCCUUCCCUUGAAUACAUGCCAUUUCUAGAAAUAGCUUAUGUUGGGCUUCGCGAUGAAUGCUAUGAUUUCUGUCGUAGUAACCGGCAGGAUUGUGAGUUUGAUGACUGUGGCUGUCAUGCUUAUCCCGUUGGCGAAGGUGUGCUUCUCCAUGGUUUGUCCAAUGCUGUGAAUUUGGAGUUGAUUGCUGAUCAUGGAUCUGAAAGGUUUAUCUACACAUGGGAUUUAAAAUGCUGCCCCAUAUUCGACAAACUGAAGACUCUAUUACUCAGUGAGUGGUUUACAACUGUUGACUUGGUGUGCAUUCUCCAACACUCUCCAAUUCUUGAGAUGCUCACUCUUCAGCUGGAUAACACUAAGAAACUCGUUAGAGCAACAGGAGCCCAAGAAAUGAUCGACCAAUCAUUUGUGUGCUUGCACCUUAAGGUUGUCAACAUUGAAUGUAGAAAGGUUGACGAGGGAGUUCGCAAAAUUUUGACGAUCUUGAGUACAUGUGGCAUACCUCGUGAGCAAAUUGGCAUCAAGGAGCAAUUACGUUACUCAGACCGUUUCAGUUUCCAGAAGCCUCUGUAG
This 1245-nucleotide ribosomal RNA is filed under the name Triticum aestivum (bread wheat). RNAcentral's name for it is "partial small subunit ribosomal RNA". The record is from RNAcentral. Lineage: Eukaryota; Viridiplantae; Streptophyta; Magnoliopsida; Poales; Poaceae.